CAAACGGUCCUUUUAAGGACCAUAAUUUUUUCUCGAGAAAACAUUU
Sarcoptes scabiei is the source of this 46-nucleotide non-coding RNA. Lineage: Eukaryota; Metazoa; Arthropoda; Arachnida; Sarcoptiformes; Sarcoptidae. The record is from Rfam.